This 650-nucleotide ribosomal RNA is filed under the name uncultured bacterium. RNAcentral describes it as "bacterial SSU rRNA". It matches the Rfam family "Bacterial small subunit ribosomal RNA", at positions 54 to 679 of the family's 1533-position model. The record is from RNAcentral.
AAUGCAAGUCGUGCGAGAAAGUCACCUUCGGGUGAUGAGUAGAGCGGCGCACGGGUGAGUAACGCGUGGGCAAUCUACCUACGGGCCUGGGAUAACUCCGGGAAACUGGAGCUAAUACCAGAUAAGACCACGAUGUCCUCGGACUUUGCGGUAAAAGGUGGCCUCUUCCUGAAAGCUAUCGCCUGUUGAUGAGCCCGCGUCCCAUUAGCUUGUUGGUGAGGUAAAGGCUCACCAAGGCUUCGAUGGGUAGCUGGUCUGAGAGGAUGAUCAGCCACACUGGAACUGAGACACGGUCCAGACUCCUACGGGAGGCAGCAGUCGGGAAUCUUGGGCAAUGGGCGAAAGCCUGACCCAGCAACGCCGCGUGAGGGAUGAAGGCCUUCGGGUCGUAAACCUCUGUCGGGAGGGAAGAAUGACACGGGACGAAUAAUCUCGGGUCUUGACGGUACCUCCAAAGGAAGCGCCGGCUAACUCCGUGCCAGCAGCCGCGGUAAUACGGAGGGCGCAAGCGUUGUUCGGAAUCAUUGGGCGUAAAGCGAGUGUAGGUGGUUUGGUAAGUCGGAUGUGAAAUCCCAGGGCCCAACCCUGGAACUGCAUUCGAAACUGCUGAGCUAGAGUCCCGGAGAGGAUGGCGGAAUUCCCGGUGUAGA